Molecule: ribosomal RNA, 722 nt
Filed under: Salmonella enterica subsp. enterica serovar Poona
Lineage: Bacteria; Pseudomonadati; Pseudomonadota; Gammaproteobacteria; Enterobacterales; Enterobacteriaceae
Description: partial 23S ribosomal RNA
Rfam family: Bacterial large subunit ribosomal RNA
Source: RNAcentral
AAGCAGUGGGAGCCCCACCACUAAGCCAGUGGUGAACUCCACAUACGCAUCCUUUGCUGAGGAUACGGUUAACGGAGCGAAAGCGACGUUCAACCUCAAAAGAAGCAGAGGGGGCUUAGUGGUGGGGUGACUGCGUACCUUUUGUAUAAUGGGUCAGCGACUUAUAUUCUGUAGCAAGGUUAACCGUAUAGGGGAGCCGCAGGGAAACCGAGUCUUAACCGGGCGUUAAGUUGCAGGGUAUAGACCCGAAACCCGGUGAUCUAGCCAUGGGCAGGUUGAAGGUUGGGUAACACUAACUGGAGGACCGAACCGACUAAUGUUGAAAAAUUAGCGGAUGACCUGUGGCUGGGGGUGAAAGGCCAAUCAAACCGGGAGAUAGCUGGUUCUCCCCGAAAGCUAUUUAGGUAGCGCCUCGUGAACUCAUCUCCGGGGGUAGAGCACUGUUUCGGCUAGGGGGCCAUCCCGGCUUACCAACCCGAUGCAAACUGCGAAUACCGGAGAAUGUUAUCACGGGAGACACACGGCGGGUGCUAACGUCCGUCGUGAAGAGGGAAACAACCCAGACCGCCAGCUAAGGUCCCAAAGUCAUGGUUAAGUGGGAAACGAUGUGGGAAGGCCCAGACAGCCAGGAUGUUGGCUUAGAAGCAGCCAUCAUUUAAAGAAAGCGUAAUAGCUCACUGGUCGAGUCGGCCUGCGCGGAAGAUGUAACGGGGCUAAACCAU